AACGAACGCUGGCGGCAUGCCUAACACAUGCAAGUCGAACGAGACCUUCGGGUCUAUUGGCGCACGGGUGCGUAACGCGUGGGAACCUGCCCUUAUGUUCGGAAUAACUCCCCUAAAGGGGUGCUAAUACCGGAUAAUGUCUUCGGACCAAAGAUUUAUCGCCUUUGGAUGGGCCCGCGUUGGAUUAGCUAGUUGGUAGGGUAAAAGCCUACCAAGGCGACGAUCCAUAGCUGGUCUGAGAGGAUGAUCAGCCACACUGGGACUGAGACACGGCCCAGACUACUACGGGAGGAAGCAGUGGGGAAUAUUGGAAAAGGGGCGAAAGGCUGAAAAAGCAAUGCCGGGUGAGUGAUGAAGGGCUUAGGGUUGUAAAGCUCUUUUAAACGGGAUGAUAAUGACAGUACCGGGAGAAUAAGCACCGGCUAACUACGUG
Molecule: ribosomal RNA, 433 nt
Filed under: uncultured bacterium
Lineage: Bacteria
Description: partial 16S ribosomal RNA
Rfam family: Bacterial small subunit ribosomal RNA
Source: RNAcentral